RNAcentral lists this ribosomal RNA (422 nucleotides) under uncultured eukaryote. Its description in RNAcentral is "SSU rRNA". It matches the Rfam family "Eukaryotic small subunit ribosomal RNA", at positions 592 to 1018 of the family's 1831-position model. The record is from RNAcentral.
CAAUAGCGUAUAUUAAAGUUGUUGCGGUUAAAAAGCUCGUAGUUGGAUUUCUGCCGAGGACGACCGGUCCGCCCUCUGGGUGAGUAUCUGGUUCGGCCUGGGCAUCUUCUUGGAGAAUGUAUCUGCACUUGACUGUGUGGUGCGGUAUCCAGGACUUUUACUUUGAGGAAAUUAGAGUGUUCACUGCAGGCAUACGCCUUGAAUACGUUAGCAUGGAAUAAUAAGAUAGGACCUCGGUUCUAUUUUUUCGGUUUCUAGAGCUGAGGUAAUGAUUAACAGGGAUAGUUGGGGGCAUUCGUAUUUAACUGUCAGAGGUGAAAUUCUUGGAUUUGUUAAAGACGAACUACUGCGAAAGCAUUUGCCAAGGAUGUUUUCAUUGAUCAAGAACGAAAGUUAGGGGAUCGAAGAUGAUUAGAUACCAU